UUUUUUCAUUAACCUUAUAAGAUAUCGACAAUUUUUUUUUACUAAAUUGUUAGUUGCGACAUGUCGUAACUUAUAAAUUUUGGUUGCGAGGGUGCGUAAACAAUAAAAGGGAGUUUUCGCCCCUCUUAUAUUAAGAAUUAUGCGUAAAGUGAUUUUACUCAUGAACCAUACAUAUUAAGGAACUAGUGUCUUUUUAUUUGAGAUGUUUAGUCUAUGACCUUGAAAUUGAGGUCAAGGUCAUAGGUUAAUUGGACGUUCUAGAUUUUGACCUUUGCUUAAAAUUCAUAUUUAUACAUCAUUAAGCCAUAGGAACUGACAUUUUCAACUGAAUUUUAAUAUUUUCAUAUCUAAAUAGAUCCUUAUUGGUUGAAAGACCUUCAAUUGUUCUCUGAACAAUUGGUUUUUAAUUAGGUCUUUCAACCUUUUCUGUUGAAAGACCUAUUGUAUUUGUUCUGAUUAUUAUUAUUAGGUCUUUCAACCUUUCAGUUGAAAGACCUAUAGGGUUUGUUCUGAUUAUUAUUAUUAUUUUUUUUUUUUUUUUUCUUCCGCCAACUUUUUUUCCUUCGCUGUUUUUUUGUUUCACAAGAUGUCGCUUAGAUAUAAGGUAAAUGAUAUCGAACAGUUAAUACGCUUCUGAAACUGACACCGCGUAACAAAAAACUUUACCUUGUAAGAGUUAUCUCCCCGAACACUGUUUUUCUUGUGGCCACUACUCCUUCGCAACCGUAUAAGAAACCGACAAAUUUAUUUUCCAAAUUUGCUCGUUAUAUCCUUAGGAUGUUCUGUUUCAUUUCAACCGAAGCUAUCCGGAGACUCCAUAUGAGAGUUAUCCCCCCUUUUAUAUAUGAUAUCAGUGAUAUGCAUUUCUAACUGGUAAACUAUAAGUGAUAGAGACCUAGGGUCUUUUGAUUUAAGAUCCUUGGUCCAAAAAAAUGAAAAUUAGGUCAAGGUCAAAGGUCAAGGUCAAAUUCUAAAUUUUGAUUUUGGCUUAUUUUCACCUUUUUUCAUUAACCUUAUAAGAUAUCGACAAUUUUU
Molecule: long non-coding RNA, 1035 nt
Filed under: Mytilus galloprovincialis (Mediterranean mussel)
Lineage: Eukaryota; Metazoa; Mollusca; Bivalvia; Mytilida; Mytilidae
Source: RNAcentral